CCUACGGGAGGCAGCAGUGAGGAAUAUUGGUCAAUGGGCUUACGCCUGAACCAGCCAAGUCGCGUGAGGGAAGACUGCCCUAUGGGUUGUAAACCUCUUUUGUCAGGGAGCAACGCCGGCUACGUGUAGCCGGACUGAGAGUACCUGAAGAAAAAGCAUCGGCUAACUCCGUGCCAGCAGCCGCGGUAAUACGGAGGAUGCGAGCGUUAUCCGGAUUUAUGGGGUUAAAAGGGUGCGUAGGCGGAAUGCCAAGUCAGCGGUAAAAUCGCGGGGCUCAACCUCGCUCCGCCGUUGAAACUGGCGUUCUUGAGUGGGCGAGAAGUAUGCGGAAUGCGUGGGGUAGCGGUGAAAUGCAUAGAUAUCACGCAGAACUCCGAUUGCGAAGGCAGCAUACCGGCGCCCAACUGACGCUGAAGCACGAAAGCGUGGGUAUCGAACAGGAUUAGAUACCCUAGUAGUC
RNAcentral lists this ribosomal RNA (460 nucleotides) under uncultured bacterium. Its description in RNAcentral is "partial 16S ribosomal RNA". It matches the Rfam family "Bacterial small subunit ribosomal RNA", at positions 338 to 795 of the family's 1533-position model. The record is from RNAcentral.